RNAcentral lists this ribosomal RNA (255 nucleotides) under uncultured bacterium. RNAcentral's name for it is "partial 16S ribosomal RNA". It matches the Rfam family "Bacterial small subunit ribosomal RNA", at positions 524 to 776 of the family's 1533-position model. The record is from RNAcentral.
UACAGAGGGGUGCGAGCGUUAAUCGGAAUUACUGGGCGUAAAGCGUGCGUAGACGGUAGCGUAAGUCAGAUGUGAAAGCCCCGGGCUCAACCUGGGAAUGGCAUUUGAGACUGCUCUGCUCGGGUGCGGAAGAGGGAAGCGGAAUUUCCGGUGUAGCGGUGGAAAUGCGUAGAUAUCGGAAGGAACACCAGUGGCGAAAGCGGCUUCCUGGUCCGACACCCGACGUCAGGCACGAAAGCGUGGGGAGCAAACAGG